Molecule: ribosomal RNA, 746 nt
Filed under: uncultured marine bacterium
Lineage: Bacteria
Description: bacterial SSU rRNA
Rfam family: Bacterial small subunit ribosomal RNA
Source: RNAcentral
UGAUCCUGGCUCAGAACGAACGCUGGCGGCAGGCCUAACACAUGCAAGUCGAACGAGAACCCGGAGCUUGCUCCGGUGGACAGUGGCAGACGGGUGAGUAACGCGUGGCAACCUACCAUUUUCUACGGAACAACAGUUGGAAACGACUGCUAAUACCGUAUACGCCCUCCGGGGGAAAGAUUUAUCGGUGAAUGAUGGGGCCGCGUUAGAUUAGCUAGUUGGCGAGGUAAUGGCUCACCAAGGCGACGAUCUAUAGCUGGUCUGAGAGGAUGAUCAGCCACACUGGGACUGAGACACGGCCCAGACUCCUACGGGAGGCAGCAGUGGGGAAUAUUGGACAAUGGAGGCAACUCUGAUCCAGCCAUGCCGCGUGAAUGAUGAAGGCCUUAGGGCUGUAAAAUUCUUUCGCUAGGGAAGAUAAUGACGGUACCUAGUAAAGAAGCCCCGGCUAACUCCGUGCCAGCAGCCGCGGUAAUACGGAGGGGGCUAGCGUUGUUCGGAAUUACUGGGCGUAAAGCGUGCGUAGGCGGAUUGGAAAGUUAGAGGUGAAAUCCCAGGGCUCAACCCUGGAACUGCCUUUAAAACUCCCAGUCUAGAGUUCUGGAGAGGUAAGUGGAAUUCCUAGUGUAGAGGUGGAAUUCGUAGAUAUUAGGAGGAACACCAGAGGCGAAGGCGGCUUACUGGACAGAUACUGACGCUGAGGCACGAAAGUGUGGGGAGCAAACAGGAUUAGAUACCCUGGUAGU